RNAcentral lists this long non-coding RNA (525 nucleotides) under Carica papaya (papaya). Its description in RNAcentral is "long non-coding RNA (CPAP_LNC001757)". Lineage: Eukaryota; Viridiplantae; Streptophyta; Magnoliopsida; Brassicales; Caricaceae. The record is from RNAcentral.
UUCAGAUUUUCAAAUCACCGAUUUUGGUGGUUUUUGAUGGUUAAACAUUUUUUUUUCAUUUUUACCCUCACAAUAUUUUGUUAAUUUCAGUUUUAUCCUUAAACCCCCAAUUUUGGUUUUCUUCAUAGCCCGACCUGCUUCUUCUUCACAUCAGCUGGCAUCUUCUUCUUCUGCUUCCAUCUUCUGCUUCUACUUCUUCAAUUCUACCAUUUGCUUCAUCUCUUUUUCUUUCAAUCAAGGUAAGUAAUGAUUAAAUUGCUUCUUGCUUUGAAUAUUCUUGUUUUUAGGUUUGUGUUUUUGAAAUGCAUAUAGGUUGUUUUUGAAGAUUUAAAGGUUGAAAUGCAUAUAGGGUUUGUGAAGAUUGAAUAUUGAAAUGCAUAUAGGGGUUUGUGAAAUGCAUUUUUACCCCUCUCUCACUUAAACAACCCAUUGCUCUUCUCUAUGAUUCAGACUAAGAAAAGCCAAUGGAGUCCGUUCGCCUGAUGUUUUUCAAUUCUAGAUAGUGUUUAAAUUUGCAGCUUUUGU